ACGCUGGCGGCGUGCCUAAUACAUGCAAGUAGAACGCUGAAGGAGGAGCUUGCUCUUCUGGAUGAGUUGCGAACGGGUGAGUAACGCGUAGGUAACCUGCCUCUUAGCGGGGGAUAACUAUUGGAAACGAUAGCUAAUACCGCAUAAAAGUCGACAUUGCAUGAUGUUGACUUGAAAGGUGCAACUGCAUCACUAAGAGAUGGACCUGCGUUGUAUUAGCUAGUUGGUGAGGUAACGGCUCACCAAGGCGACGAUACAUAGCCGACCUGAGAGGGUGAUCGGCCACACUGGGACUGAGACACGGCCCAGACUCCUACGGGAGGCAGCAGUAGGGAAUCUUCGGCAAUGGACGGAAGUCUGACCGAGCAACGCCGCGUGAGUAAAGAAGGUUUUCGGAUCGUAAAGCUCUGUUGUAAGAGAAGAACGAGUGUGAGAGUGGAAAGUUCACACUGUGACGGUAACUUACCAGAAAGGGACGGCUAACUACGUGCCAGCAGCCGCGGUAAUACGUAGGUCCCGAGCGUUAUCCGGAUUUAUUGGGCGUAAAGCGAGCGCAGGCGGUUAGAUAAGUCUGAAGUUAAAGGCUGUGGCUUAACCAUAGUACGCUUUGGAAACUGUUUAACUUGAGUGCAGAAGGGGAGAGUGGAAUUCCAUGUGUAGCGGUGAAAUGCGUAGAUAUAUGGAGGAACACCGGUGG
This 697-nucleotide ribosomal RNA is filed under the name uncultured Bacilli bacterium. Its description in RNAcentral is "bacterial SSU rRNA". It matches the Rfam family "Bacterial small subunit ribosomal RNA", at positions 33 to 715 of the family's 1533-position model. Lineage: Bacteria; Bacillati; Bacillota; Bacilli. The record is from RNAcentral.